CCCGUGAUAGUUCAGUUGGUAGAGCGGAGGACUGUAGAUCCUUAGGUCGCUGGUUCAAAUCCGGCUGGCGGGA
Molecule: transfer RNA, 73 nt
Filed under: Haliotis rufescens (red abalone)
Lineage: Eukaryota; Metazoa; Mollusca; Gastropoda; Lepetellida; Haliotidae
Description: tRNA-Tyr
Rfam family: tRNA
About the family: Transfer RNA (tRNA) molecules are approximately 80 nucleotides in length. Their secondary structure includes four short double-helical elements and three loops (D, anti-codon, and T loops). Further hydrogen bonds mediate the characteristic L-shaped molecular structure. tRNAs have two regions of fundamental functional importance: the anti-codon, which is responsible for specific mRNA codon recognition, and the 3' end, to which the tRNAs corresponding amino acid is attached (by aminoacyl-tRNA synthetases). tRNAs cope with the degeneracy of the genetic code in two manners: having more than one tRNA (with a specific anti-codon) for a particular amino acid; and 'wobble' base-pairing, i.e. permitting non-standard base-pairing at the 3rd anti-codon position.
Source: RNAcentral